Molecule: long non-coding RNA, 7377 nt
Filed under: Homo sapiens (human)
Lineage: Eukaryota; Metazoa; Chordata; Mammalia; Primates; Hominidae
Description: HSALNT0268743
Source: RNAcentral
GGUGCCCCGCACAGGAGCCAGCUUUGCACUUAGUGCAGACUAGACAGCCAUGUAGUUUAGCAGGGGCAGCAUUGACAGAAACCAGAGAGCUGUAAAUGCCACACUGGGGUGGCUGGGCCACAUGUGCUAUUAACCAGACAGUCUUGUUCCAUGUCUGGAGUCUGAGCACAUUUUAGGCCCUGGUGGCUGGGCAGCACCCUGUGGGGACCGUUAACCACUUAGCUGAGACCCGUUGAGCAGAUGCCUCUGAAAUCUAUGCUGGUUUGAACCCCCCCUGGGGUAUUUUGUGCUCUUAGGGACACCAUAGUAAUUGAUGUAAUAUGCCUAAGAUGGACUGAAACUGUCUGAUAUUGGAAUAAAUUUAGCCUCACUGGUAAUAAAAGAUAAGUGCAUGAAAACAAGAUGUCAUUUUACUAUAAUUUUCCCUGGCCAUUUUAUUAUAAUUUUUAGAUUGGCCAAGGUUAAGAAAGAUGACAGCUCUGUGGGCUAGAGGGUGGAGAGACAAGCCCUCUCCUACACUGGUGAGGGGUGCCAGGAUUCUGUAGCAACACCUUUGAGUGAGCAUAACCUUGGACUCAAACAAUUUUCCUUACAGGCAAUAACCUACGAAAUACUGGGAUAUACGCACAAAGAUCCAUGUGCCAGGAUAUGUGUUGGAGGAUUUAUAUUUGGAGAAAAUUAAAUGCGCAAUGAGAGGAUCGCUGUAGAAGUAGAGAUCAGGCAUGACCUCCCACCAGUGUUUGCGGGCAAUUGUGCCGCUGCAUGGGCAGAAUUUCCCGGGCCAGCAUCCACAUCAAGUCCACUGAGUGAGCUUCCUGUUGCAUGGGAUGGCAAUGUCCACAUGGUGCAGAGGAGAAUCUGUGUGACACAGAGCAAUGGUGCUGUUAUUAUUCCCACUUUACAGAGGGGAAGGCUGAAGCUCAAAGAAGCAAGGCAACUCUCAGGGGUCACAGAAGUGAUAAACUGAGGAGUUGGAAUUCCAGAGUCCAAGCUGGUGACGAGCACCGUGAACUCCUCUUCUCUGGCCACCACUCUACUCUACAACAAAGUCUAUAAAUUAUGGCCAUGGCCAGAUCCAGCUCGCCACCUGUUUCUCUGCUGUUCCCAAGAUGGGAAAACUGACACACAGAAAGGCAAAGGACCCCAUUAAAGUCACACGGCGAGUGAAUGUCAAAGCCAGGACCUGCAGAGGCUAUGGUGGGGGAGAGCACUUGGAGGAGAUGGGAAGGAAUCGUUGCAGGGACAGGUCUCACCCUCACUAGUGCUCACUCCAUUACUUGCCGAAUACACUGGGAGAAACACGCCCCUUCUCUUGACCCGGCUCUUUUCCACAAGGAAGUACGGGACGGAAAUUAAAGAAGAAAGUGGUUCCACAGGUUUGGUGGCUACAAAAAGAUUUCCUCGAUAAACACUGCCCACAGUCACUCAUUUGUGAAAGCUGCAUGAUGUGAAAUUAAACUCGGGCAGAGGUGCUGUGGGUGAUGAUGUCUCGGUGGCUUGGGGAAAUGAAAGCCAUUCAUCUCAGGCAAAUGUGACAGGCAGGACCAUUGGCUUUCCGUCACCUAUGGGCUGCCUUCUCAUGGCAGUGGCCUAUGCAGGCCUUACGUUUUUGCAGCAAAUUUGUAAUGAACCAAUCAGUGGCCUUCAUGUCAGGCAAUCUAGGAAGGUUUUGGAAGUGGGACUACUUGCCCCACUGUUGGUGAGUAUUAGAUAUCCCUUUAGGAAGGUUCAAGAGCCCAUGCUGGCCAGGCGCGGUGGCUCAUGCCUGUAAUCCCAGCACUUUGGGAGGUCGAGGUGGGCAGAUCACUUGAGGUUAGGAAUUCAAGACCAGCCUGGACAACACAGCAAGACCCCAUCUCUACUAAAAAUACAAAAAUUAGCUGGAUAUGGUGGUGGGCGUCUGUAGUCCCAGCUACAUGGGAGGUUGAGGCAGGAGAAUCUCUUGAACCGGGGAGGUGGAGGUUCCAGUAGAGCCAAGAUUGCACCACUGCAUGCCAGCCUGGCAGCAGAGUGAGACUGUGUCUCACAACACACACACACACACACAGAGAGAAAGAGAGAGAGAGAGAGAGAGAGAGAGAGAGAGAGAGAGAGAGAGAGAGAGAAACAGAGCCCAUAGAAAACGUCUUGUGAAUGCUUAAACGCACCUGGCUCCUUUUACAAACUUCUUUCCACUUCUCUUGAGUCCCAUGUGAAAGUUUUCACUGCCCCCACCGGCUCCUCACCUUCUCCUUCAGAGUCUCACAUGCAUCUCUUUCAGUCUCAAGAGGUGCUAGAAAAAAUGCUGGAUUCCUUAAAGGAGUGUUUAUGUUGGAAACCAGCAUCACUAGGAAAUGGCUGGUCCUGACCCCAAGCAACUUAUCUCUGGCGGAGGUCGGAGAGGCUGGUACCCGUCUGCUCCCGACUGACCCUCAUUCCUUCCUGGUUGGGUGGUAGGAACUAACAGGCCAGGCCCCUUGGUGUGGGUUUCUGGCUUCCUAGGUUCCCUGAGGUCACAUCUUUUGUUCUCAUCAUCAUCUGUCUGUUCCCAGUGAAGGAGAACUGCUUCAGGACACUGUUUCUCAAAUUUCACUUCUUUGCACACAACCUUCAUGGUUUUUGCUCCAGCUAUGUACAAUUAAAGCUACUAUUAACUUAAUAUUUUUGUUGACAUAAAAGUUUACUUAAACUUAUGUCACUAAGGUAAAUGGAAAGCCAAUAUAAUGUUCUAUAAAUAGACUUUACAAGUAAAGAGAAAUACAGUGAAUCAUGUUAUUGUCUGCUAGCUGAUACUUGUGCCUAAGAAGGCUCUUAACCCGAGAACUGCCCGUCUUUUGUUAAAAAGGAAGAUGGACAUGUGUUGGAGAAGGGUUAAGGACCUCCUAGCACCAUCCUGAGCCUUUCUCCUUGAUUUAAUUGAAUGGACUGAAUGAGGAUAGAAAAAGAGUCACUUACUCUGGGAUUCAAUGCUGUUUCAAGCGGUGGCCCCUCUACCAUCCAAAGUCACUUGGGGUCACACGCUUUGGGAGACACCAUUCCAGUAGAUAUUGUAUCUUCAGGCCCAGCUUGUUCUGGCCUGGAGAUCCUCUAUAAGGGGUCCCCAAAUUGGGCCACCCUUGAACUAGGAAUUCCAGGUCUUGGGCAAUUAUUAGUGCUGGAGCCAUUGUUGCUUAGUGCAUAUUUUCCCAGUAGACAUUGGCCUUAGAGUUAAAUUAAAACUCCAGGAUGGGAUCUAGAAAUGAGCUCAUAUCAGUCUUCUCCCAGGGGGUCUUAUGAGUGUUAAAGUCUGUGGGACCUUUCAUCCCCACCUUAGCUUCUUGUCAGCCCCACACGGACUUUGAAGGAAGAGGAUGGUCUUCCCAACCCCCACAGCAUCCUCCGUGGACACAGCAAGCAACUCUGCAGGGUGUGCAUUCACUUAACACAUAUUAAGUGUGUGCCAGGUGCCAGACAUUGUGACAGCUAUGGCAGGGCCGGGGGCAGGGGUCCUAGAAAGAGGAGGAGAGCAUGGAUGCAAAGCCCAACCCAGACUUUGAGGCGAUUGUUUUUUAAGGCUGUUUUUAGCACUUGAAGGUACAUGUCUACCUCCAAAAACUUUUCAUAAACAAAUGGGAAGGUUUUGCUUUCGGCAAUGGCAGCUAACUUGUUUUGGACAAAUCUUCCUGCUGAGAACAACUAGAAAACCUGGGCGUAAAAAACAAAAUCUGAUCAAAGGCUUUGGAAAGCUACCAAAGGCAACCAGGAUUCAAGGGGCCAAGAUCCCAGAAAGAAAAGAAACCGUUAACGCUGAGUCUGAUAUUUCAAACCACUUUUCCCCCUAAGGCAUUCAUUGAUUUGAAGGCAGAUUUAUGGAGCUAGGGCAAAAAAUACGGGCAUUCAGAGACAGCCACAGAAGGAGGGCCCUGGUAAACACCCUAGGAUUGAUUUAGGACCCCGGAGAGCUGCUCCUUAGCAGUAAGGGAGAGCUAGAAACAGACCGUCCUUCAGAAGGACUGAAGCUCGGCUCUGAGCCAUUAAAAUCCAUGAUUGAAUCAGGUUCAUCUUUUCCUAACCUAACUGCCUGUUAGAAGCAAAAUAUACCCUCUUUGGAAAGAGACUGGAAGUUUUUUCCAUCCCUCCUCAUAUUUUACUGCUCUGUAUUUUAUUCCAGCCACUGUUGCCGCAACUAAUUUUGUGCAGCUGUAACUCAACAUCACCUGCCUCAGCCUUUGCUAUCUCUAACUUCCCAUGUCAGGGCUACUCUGACGCCUCUGUCCAUGGGAAUCUACCUUUCCAUCACGCACAUGCAUCCUGGAAGUGAAAUGGAAUUAACCACCCAUAAGCAACCCUUGACCAAUGGGGAAUGUGAGCUGGGGAAUAAAUGCUUCUUUCUUCCAUUCUUUAGGCAGGACAUUUUGAGACGCAAUUAGAUUUUUGUUGUUGUUGUUUACGAGGUCUUAGCUUGGAUCAACCCCCAGUUACCCCCAGUAAUGACCGAUUCAAGAGUGUACUCAUGAAUUGGCUUUCUCUCUUUCCCUGUCACAUUCUUCUCAGAAUCCCACUCCUGUGUGCUUGGAUUACUAACAAAAUUAACCUGCACACAAAUCAAGGUCUCAGGUUCUCCUUUCUGGAGGAAUCCAGGCUAAGACUAAUACAAUAUAGGGGGUUAAAAUAUUCUACACUUUUAAUCUACAAGGUCUAGCACACAAUUACAAAAAUGCUGGGAAGACAAAAAGGCAAGAUUAGAACAAAAACCAAGAAAAAAUACAGUCAACAGAAAUAGAACUACAGGGAAUUCAGAUAUUGGCAUUAUUUGACAGGGACUUUAAAAUAAUAAUUAUUAAAACACUCAAAGCACUAGGUGACAGGAUGAGGAAUUUUGGCAGGGAAUAACAAACUGUAGGAGAGAAUCAAAUAAAAUUUCUACUGAGAAAUGCUUGAAAAUGAGAGCUCAGUGGAUGUGUUUUUGAUAGUAGAUUAGAUGCAGCUGAAAAGAAAAUUAGUAAUCUGAAAAAUAAAUUAGAAGAACAUAUGUAAAUGAAGCAAAGAAAGAUAAAAGGUGGAAAAUGAAAGAACAUGAGACACAUAAUAAGAUGCAACAGUCUAAAACAUGGAAUUGGAAUCACAGAGGAGAGAGAGAAUAUGGAAGAAAUACGAUUAAAGAUAUUUGAUGAGAAUUAUUCAAAAAUGAUAAAAGACAUUCAUCCAUAUAUUAAAGAAGCUAUAAGAACCUUAUGCAGUAAAUACAAAGAAAAUCAUCCCUAGUCAUAUCAUAGUCAAACUGCUUAAAGCUAAAGACAAAGAGAAAACCUUAUAAAGCAUCCAGAGAGAAGAUAUGUUACUUUCAAAGAAACAAAGAUAACAGCUAAAAAUAAUGGAAGCCAAAAGGCAAUAAAAUGAUAGCUUCAAAGUGCAGGAAAAAAAAACUAUCAACCUAGAUUCUCUAUCCAGAAUACUACUUUUAAAAAUUAAGGAAAAAUGGAGACAUUCUUUGACAAAAGCCAAGAUAAUUUCUCACCAGAAGAUUAAUGCUAAAGAAGAUAAUAAGUAGUAUUCUCCAGGUAGAAGAAAAGUGAUCCUUCAUGGCAAUUUAGGAAUUCAGGAUGAAAUAAAGAACAAUGUAGAGGAUAAAUAAUAAAUGGAUAGAUCUAAAUGAAUACUGAUUGCAUAAAUUAAUAUGUUUAUCUUUUUAUAUGAUAGGGUUUGUAAUGAUAAUAGGUUUAUUAUUGUGGUAACAUGUUUAUAAUUAUUACAUUAAGAUAAUAUACAGUUGACUCUUAAACAACACUGGGGUUAGUGGUGGUGACCUGCUGCACAGUUAAAAAUCCAUGUAUAACUUUUUAUUGAUUUAUUUUUAAUUACAAUUUUUUAAAUUUAAGAGAUAGGUUUUGCUAUGUUGCCCAGGCUGGUCUCAAACUCAUGGGCUCAAGUGAUCAACCCACCUCAGCCUCCAAAACUGCUGGGAUUACAGGUAUGAGCUACUGCACCUGGCCAAAAAUCCAUGUAUAACUUUUGACUCCUCAAAAACUUAACUACUAAUAGCCUAUUGCUGAUCAGAAGCCUUACUGAAAACACAAAUAGUUAGUUAACACAUAUUUUAUAAGUUACAUGGAUUGUAUGCCAUAUUCUUAUAAUAAAGUAAGCUAGGGAACCUGCACAUUGUGCACAUGUACCCUAAAACUUAAAGUAUAAUAAUAAUAAAAUUAAAAAAAAUCAUAAGGAAGAGAAAAUAUAUUUACUAUUUGUUAAGUGGUGUGUGGAUCAUCAUAAAGGUCUUCAUCCUUGCCGUCUUCAUACUGAGUAGGCUGAGGAGCAAGAGGAAGAGGAGGGGUUGGUCUUGGCUGUCUCAGUGGUGGCAGAAGUGAAAGGAAAUCUAUGUGUAAGUAGACCUAUGCAGUUCAAACCCACGUUGUUCAAGGGUCAACUAUACAUAGAAUUGAAACACAUGACAAUAAAAACAUUUAAAUUAGGAGGUAGUAAGUGGAGUUAAAGUGUUCCAAGGACCUUUUGUUUUCUGACAAAUGGUAAAAGCACACACACACACGCACAUAUAUAUGCAUAUGUGCGUGUGUGUGUGUGUGUGUGUGUGUAGAUGGAAACUUAGGGAUUCAGAAUGAAAUAAAUGUGUGUAGGGGUGUGUGUGUGUUUAUGUGUGUGUGUGUGUGUGUGUGUGUGUGUGUGUGUGUAUACUAUUUUUUGAGAUAGGGUCUUGCUCUGUUGCCCAGGCUGGAGUGCAGUGGCACAAAUAUGGCUCGCUGCAGCCUCGGCCUCUUGGGCUCAAGCAGUGCUUCUUCCAACUCAGCCUCCUAAGUAGCUGGGACCACAGAUGCAUGCCACCACAUCCAGCAAAUUUUAAAAUUUUUUCGUAGAGACAGGAUCUCACAUGCUGCCCAGGCUAGACUUAUUUUUUCUGGUACAUCAGGGAUGUAUGUUGCAAUCUCUAGGUAAAUCCAUAAGACAGUAAAAGAAUGUAUAAAUAAUAAGAUAAUUGAGAGUGUUAUGUAAUAAUACAUAUUGAAUAUUUUCAAAAAGAAAAUAAUGAAGAUGGGAAAAAGGGAGCCUAUACUAGAUGAUGCAAAAGAAAGGUAACAAGAUGAUAAUAUAUUUAAAAUCGAAUGAAUUACAUAUUUUAAUUAAGGGAUGAAGAUUAUUAGACUGUUUAGAAAAACAAAGUCAACAAUAUGCUGCUUACAAGGGACUAUCAUAAACAGGAGGAUAGAUUGAAAAUAAAUGGAUAGAAAAAGAUAGAUGAAAAGAAAGCUGAAAUAGCUUUGCUAAUAUCAGACAAAGUAUAAUUUCAGGCAAAAAUAUUACUAGAGGUAAAGAGGGAUAUUUCUUUUUUUUUUUUUGAGAUGGAGUUUUGUUCUUGUUGCCCAGCCUAGAGUGCAAUGGCGUGAUCUCAGCUCACCGCAACCUCUG